AGAGUUAAACAGUACGUGAAAUUGUUAAAAGGGAAACGAAUGAGACCAGUAAUCCUGGCAGCUAAUCAGCCGCCUGAGCGUAGCCUUGAGUCAUUUGAAGAUCGCAAGACUUCAGUGGCUCAGUGGCUGCGCUUUAGCGGUGUACUUGGCUGUCAGGAAGUCAACGUCAGUUCAGACUGACGGAAGAACUUUGGCGGGAGGUAGCCACCCUCGGGUGGUGUUUAACCGCCAAAUGCACACGUCAGACUGGACUGAGGACUGCAGGGUGCCUUCAUGGCAGGGCGUCCCGGUGCUGCUAGGUGCGUUGUCUUAGGCCAGCUUGCUGACUGAGGUGACGUUGCCUGGCAACCACCGGGCUCCGCUACAAACACCCUUAGGACGUUGACGAAAUGGUCUUAUCCGACC
Molecule: ribosomal RNA, 405 nt
Filed under: uncultured fungus
Lineage: Eukaryota; Fungi
Description: eukaryotic LSU rRNA
Source: RNAcentral